ACGAACGCUGGCGGCAGGCCUAACCCAUGCAAGUCGAACGAAGUCUUCGGACUUAGUGGCGCACGGGUGAGUAGCACGUGGGAAUAUACCUUACGCUGGGGGAUAACAUCGGGAAACUGAUGCUAAUACCGCAUACGCCCUUCGGGGGAAAGAUUUAUCGGCGAAAGAUUAGCCCGCGUCCGAUUAGCUAGUUGGUGAGGUAAUGGCUCACCAAGGCUCCGAUCGGUAGCUGGUCUGAGAGGAUGACCAGCCACACUGGGACUGAGACACGGCCCAGACUGCUACGGGAGGCAGCAGUGGGGAAUAUUGGACAAUGGGCGCAAGCCUGAUCCAGCCAUGCCGCGUGAGUGAUGAAGGCCUUAGGGUUGUAAAGCUCUUUCACCCACGACGAUGAUGACGGUAGUGGGAGAAGAAGCCCCGGCUAACUUCGUG
Molecule: ribosomal RNA, 432 nt
Filed under: uncultured bacterium
Lineage: Bacteria
Description: partial 16S ribosomal RNA
Rfam family: Bacterial small subunit ribosomal RNA
Source: RNAcentral